Molecule: transfer RNA, 75 nt
Filed under: Planctomycetota bacterium
Lineage: Bacteria; Pseudomonadati; Planctomycetota
Description: tRNA-Lys
Rfam family: tRNA
About the family: Transfer RNA (tRNA) molecules are approximately 80 nucleotides in length. Their secondary structure includes four short double-helical elements and three loops (D, anti-codon, and T loops). Further hydrogen bonds mediate the characteristic L-shaped molecular structure. tRNAs have two regions of fundamental functional importance: the anti-codon, which is responsible for specific mRNA codon recognition, and the 3' end, to which the tRNAs corresponding amino acid is attached (by aminoacyl-tRNA synthetases). tRNAs cope with the degeneracy of the genetic code in two manners: having more than one tRNA (with a specific anti-codon) for a particular amino acid; and 'wobble' base-pairing, i.e. permitting non-standard base-pairing at the 3rd anti-codon position.
Source: RNAcentral
GAACCGGUAGCUCAAUGGUAGAGCAGCGGCCUUUUAAGCCGCGGGUUCCGGGUUCGAGUCCCGGCCGGUUCACCA